This 472-nucleotide ribosomal RNA is filed under the name uncultured bacterium. RNAcentral describes it as "SSU rRNA". It matches the Rfam family "Bacterial small subunit ribosomal RNA", at positions 26 to 518 of the family's 1533-position model. The record is from RNAcentral.
AGGAUAAACGCUGGCGGCGUGCCUAACACAUGCAAGUCGAACGUCUCUUCUUUCGGGAAGAGGAGUGGCGGACGGGUGAGGAACACGUGGGAACCUGCCCUUCAGUGAGGAAUACCGGCGAGAAAUCGCCGACAAGACCGCAUAGCCCUCUCUGGUGAGAGCCAGAGAAGGAAAGCUUCGCAAGAGGCGCUGGAGGAGGGGCCUGCGUCCGAUUAGCUAGUUGGUGGGGUAAGAGCCUACCAAGGCGUCGAUCGGUAGCUGGUCUGAGAGGACGAUCAGCCACACUGGGAUUGAGAACGGCCCAGACUCCUACGGGGGGCAGCAGUGAGGAAUUUUCCGCAAUGGGCGCAAGCCUGACGGAGCAACGCCGCGUGCAGGACGACGGCCUUCGGGUUGUAAACUGCUUUUCUGGGGGACGAGCAAGGACGGUACCCCAGGAAUCAGCCCCGGCUAACUACGUGCCAGCAGCCGC